RNAcentral lists this ribosomal RNA (16 nucleotides) under Eimeria leuckarti. RNAcentral describes it as "large subunit ribosomal RNA". Lineage: Eukaryota; Apicomplexa; Conoidasida; Eucoccidiorida; Eimeriidae. The record is from RNAcentral.
GAUAGCGUUAGAGCUC